AGCUCCGGUGGCCUAGUAGUUAGAGCGUCCACCUCGGAUGCAGAAGAUCGCGGGUUCGAUCCCCAGCCGAGUUA
Non-coding RNA from Potamilus streckersoni, 74 nucleotides. The record is from the annotation of a GenBank genome assembly. Lineage: Eukaryota; Metazoa; Mollusca; Bivalvia; Unionida; Unionidae.